UACAGAGGUGGCAAGCGUUGUUCGGAAUUACUGGGCGUAAAGCGUGCGUAGGUGGUGAGUUAAGUCUGUCGUGAAAGCCCCGGGCUCAACCUGGGAAUGGCGAUGGAUACUGGCUCGCUAGAGUGCGGUAGAGGAGAGUGGAAUUCCCGGUGUAGCAGUGAAAUGCGUAGAGAUCGGGAGGAACAUCAGUUGCGAAGGCGGCUCUCUGGACCAGCACUGACACUGAGGCACGAAAGCGUGGGGAGCAAACAGG
This 253-nucleotide ribosomal RNA is filed under the name uncultured bacterium. Its description in RNAcentral is "partial 16S ribosomal RNA". It matches the Rfam family "Bacterial small subunit ribosomal RNA", at positions 524 to 776 of the family's 1533-position model. The record is from RNAcentral.